Molecule: long non-coding RNA, 2540 nt
Filed under: Equus caballus (horse)
Lineage: Eukaryota; Metazoa; Chordata; Mammalia; Perissodactyla; Equidae
Description: lncRNA (ENSECAG00000051971.1)
Source: RNAcentral
AUAGGAACUCUGCAAUCAUGAAAGUCGUCAUCUGGCAGCUGGAAGGCCAUACCUUAGGAAGCUGAAAUUGCUGGCAGCUGCAGAAAGCAGUGGGUGGCAGGUGUUCCCGCACGCCCUUUGGGGAGGAAAAGGGCUACAUUUCAGAGGCUUAUAUGCGCUAAUAUACAAAUGGCUUCUAAAUAAUAAAAGGAUUUUGAGUAAUUCCGAGUUGUCAGGAUGUCUGAAGAAUGAAGCUUGAGAUUAAGCUGCCAGAAACAAUGUUGAAAACCAUGAGAGCUAUUCUAAUGAAGAAGCCUCUUCUGCUGUCAGUUACCACACACAAAAUCUACUGUUGGCACCACUGCUCUUUCUCUGAUGAGAACUUGAUCUUGCUUUUACCAUUACUUCCACUGCCAUCAAAGAGAGAGAAUUCCAUAUUCCAAUACUGCAAAGUGUACAAUUAUCUGUAUGACACCGAAAAAGAAGCAGUACAGCUUAGUGGGAAGAGCACGGACUUGGACGUAGUGACUUCUCAGCCAGUAUAGACAAAGAGUUGACCCUGGAUGACUCUAGUGAGUCCCGAAUCAAAUGGCUUGGCUUUUAUCAAACCCCCUCUGGGAGAAAUGACUCCAGUAUUGAUGGGGACAUCCCAACCCAGGCUUCACCCUGAUCUGCAUAUGGCCUGGGCUUCAGCUGUGAGAGUUGUGGUGGGACGCCAUCAUGCUCUAACUCUGAAGUUCUUAGAAGAUGCUCAGGCUUUUGCUAUAGAAAAACAAAGGAAGAAUGGGUACAGUGAGCCAGACUCUGGUUUGUGCUGUGAAUCCUGUUGAUGAAUCUGCAUGGAGAAAGUCAAAGUGAACCAUAUUGCUCAUUAGCAAGUCAGAAUGCCUGACUCAUGCUGAGCACAGGAGGACAACUGAGGAAUGAGACCCUGGCUGAAGGGCCCAUCAUGGUGUCAUCUUUUCCUUUGUUGGAGGCCUGAUGGUAUCAACUCUCUCUCCAUGCUCGCCCACCAUGUGUGUGGUGUCUGUCAAUGCAGGUAUCACAGAUCACUGAUGAAGAGGUGUGUGUGUGGAGGCAGAAGUCUAGAGAGAUCAUCUGAGCCAAUUAGGGAGGAGUAUUUCCCCUGGAAUGAUCCUUCAACAUCCAUGUGAAUUUUUGGCGAAGUCUCCUUGGUCAUGCUGAAGACUUCCCAUGCUGAAGACAUGACUUUGGGGCAGUUUGCAGGACUACCUGGCAUGUACCACAUGUGUUGGGUUUUCUUCAUUCCCCAUUUUGUUUUGCUUUGCUUUCCAAUAUCAAAGCACUCUAAGCUACUAGACAUAGCUUCUAUCCAAUGACUUCAGAUGAACAAUUUCCAGAUGUGCUAUUUGUAGUCUGGCCAAAAUUUAAUAGUUGUAGAGCAAAGAUACAAAGGUCCCCAGUCCCUAGAGGCACUAUAGCAUCACAGUGUAGACUGCAAGCCCGGGAGCCAGACUGCCUGGGAUUGAAUCCUGGCUCUACCACUUGGGUAAGCUAUUGAACUUCUUUGCUCCUCAGUUUUCUCAUCAAUAAAACAGUGAUAAUGAUAGUACCUAACUCACAGGGAUGUUGUGAGGAUUAAAUUAAUUAAUUGUCUUUUUUUUACAAGAGGGUUUGUAGACUAUGUGCCUGCCAAGUGGUAAGUGCGUGAUAAAUGGUAAGCAUUCUUAUGAUUCAAGAAUCCUGUUGGCCACUUCAACAGGACCUCACAGGGUGGGAGUAAGUGGAUGAAUGGGCCUUGAGUAUCAUGGAGAUGCUCAGCUUUAUAGAUCUAGAAAUGUGAUCACCUCAGUGCAAUCAGUUAAGAGGGCACAGGAGAUUGGCCCAUAUAGACUAAACUCUCAAACUCACAAAAGGGUUUAUUGCCCUAUACCAAUGCGUUUAUUUACAGUAAGAUUUAGAACAGGCAAGGGGGCCACCCAGACAUUCAUGUCAGCAUGUCAGUGUACCCUUCCCUAGUAUGAAAAUCUACACGGGAAAUCAAGUUUUAAUUUGAAGGUUGCUUGGUGAGCAUGGAAGUAGAACUUGGUAAACUCAAGCUGUGCGGAUUUAACGUAGUCAUUCCCAAUACAGGAAGAGAAUAUCGCGUAUUUACCUGCAAAAGGGACUGAAACUUCCAGUCCUCUGGUCAGGAAACUCCCUCUUGUGAACACAGCUAACAAAUUCAAACUUAUUUUCUUUUCUCUGGUGCCACACAGAGCAUUCCAUUGUGAUAAUAUACUUUCUUUGGGAUUGUGGAGACUAAAAAGGGGGCAGGGUCAAAGCUUUAGAUAUGCUAAUACAGCAGUUACUUCUGGAACUAUAUUUGAGUCAGGCCCUGGGUAUAUCUGAAAGUUUUUAGACAUUUCGUCUUCAGAUGAGUUUCUUUCACACUGACCUAGGGGAGAGUGGAAUUUCCGGCCCACUGAAUGAGGAAGUGACGCGUUCGAUGCCUAAUAGGAUGGAGGAAUUUGUGUUUACCUGAACUCUUUUAAAGGAAAGCCCUUCGUGGAGUUGAAGAAUCUUUUAUGAGCCACUUGAUGGCAGUGGGGGUGGGGGAC